GGUCGGUGAUGCACCGGCAUGUAUUACCUGACCUGAGGUGAUGACCAAUGCUCAUUGGCUCUAGAGUUACUCUGAGGCCCC
RNAcentral lists this small nucleolar RNA (81 nucleotides) under Mesitornis unicolor (brown roatelo). RNAcentral describes it as "Small nucleolar RNA SNORD45". It matches the Rfam family "Small nucleolar RNA SNORD45". Rfam says of the family: U45 belongs to the C/D class of snoRNA which contain the C (UGAUGA) and D (CUGA) box motifs. Lineage: Eukaryota; Metazoa; Chordata; Aves; Mesitornithiformes; Mesitornithidae. The record is from Rfam by way of RNAcentral.